AGCGAGUUGGCGCAGAGGAAGCGCAUAGGGCCCAUAACCCUAGGGUCGGUGGAUCGAAACCAUCACUCGCUA
Molecule: non-coding RNA, 72 nt
Organism: Ochromonadaceae sp. CCMP2298
Lineage: Eukaryota; Synurophyceae; Ochromonadales; Ochromonadaceae
Source: the annotation of a GenBank genome assembly